AGUUUAGCUAAUGUUGCCCGUACCGUAAACCGACACAGGUGGGUGGGAUGAGUAUUCUAAGGCGCGUGGAAGAACUCUCUUUAAGGAACUCUGCAAAAUAGCACCGUAUCUUCGGUAUAAGGUGUGGUUCGCUUCGUAUUAGGAUUUACUCCGAAAGCGAAGAAACUUACAACAAAGAGUCCCUCCCGACUGUUUACCAAAAACACAGCACUCUGCUAACUCGUAAGAGGAUGUAUAGGGUGUGACGCCUGCCCGGUGCUCGAAGGUUAAUUGAUGGGGUUAGCAUUAGCGAAGCUCUUGAUCGAAGCCCGAGUAAACGGCGGCCGUAACUAUAACGGUCCUAAGGUAGCGAAAUUCCUUGUCGGUUAAAUACCGACCUGCAUGAAUGGCGUAACGAGAUGGGAGCUGUCUCAAAGAGGGAUCCAGUGAAAUUGUAGUGGAGGUGAAAAUUCCUCCUACCCGCGGCAAGACGGAAAGACCCCGUGGACCUUUACUACAGCUUGACACUGCUAUUUGGAUAAGAAUGUGCAGGAUAGGUGGGAGGCUUUGAGUAUAUGACGCCAGUUGUAUAUGAGCCAUUGUUGAGAUACCACUCUUUCUUAUUUGGGUAGCUAACCAGCUUGAGUUAUCCUCAAGUGGGACAAUGUCUGGUGGGUAGUUUGACUGGGGCGGUCGCCUCCCAAAUAAUAACGGAGGCUUACAAAGGUUGGCUCAGAACGGUUGGAAAUCGUUCGUAGAGUAUAAAGGUAUAAGCCAGCUUAACUGCAAGACAUACAAGUCAAGCAGAGACGAAAGUCGGUCUUAGUGAUCCGGUGGUUCUGUGUGGAAGGGCCAUCGCUCAAAGGAUAAAAGGUACCCCGGGGAUAACAGGCUGAUCUCCCCCAAGAGCUCACAUCGACGGGGAGGUUUGGCACCUCGAUGUCGGCUCAUCGCAUCCUGGGGCUGGAGCAGGUCCCAAGGGUAUGGCUGUUCGCCAUUUAAAGCGGUACGCGAGCUGGGUUCAGAACGUCGUGAGACAGUUCGGUCCCUAUCUGCCGUGGGCGUAAGAAGAUUGAAGAGAUUUGACCCUAGUACGAGAGGACCGGGUUGAACAAACCACUGGUGUAGCUGUUGUUCUGCCAAGAGCAUCGCAGCGUAGCUAAGUUUGGAACGGAUAAACGCUGAAAGCAUCUAAGCGUGAAGCCAACUCUAAGAUGAAUCUUCUCUAAGCUCUCUAGAAGACUACUAGUUUGAUAGGCUGGGUGUGUAAUGGAUGAAAGUCCUUUAGCUGACCAGUACUAAUAGAGCGUUUGGCUUAUCUUUUUUAUAAGCAU
Molecule: ribosomal RNA, 1313 nt
Filed under: Campylobacter lari
Lineage: Bacteria; Pseudomonadati; Campylobacterota; Epsilonproteobacteria; Campylobacterales; Campylobacteraceae
Description: partial 23S ribosomal RNA
Rfam family: Bacterial large subunit ribosomal RNA
Source: RNAcentral